Non-coding RNA from Oncorhynchus mykiss (rainbow trout), 816 nucleotides. Lineage: Eukaryota; Metazoa; Chordata; Actinopteri; Salmoniformes; Salmonidae. The record is from RefSeq and is a predicted model, not a curated record.
UUCACUCUGUGAUAGGGUUGGAUCCUAUAUGCUACUUUUACUGUCCUGUAAAUGGUUCAGUGCCUAUAAUUUAGGCUGCGUGUAGAACGGGGCAUAAAGGAAAUGACCUCUGCUUAUAAAUUACUAGAUUUUAGUGAUAAGGAAAACAGCAUACACGUGGCUUGUGUAUUCAUUUGCCUAUAACUAAUCAUAAUUCCAUUAUUUUUACAUUAAAAAAAAGAGAAUACUUCAAAGUGACAAGAUCCUGCCAUGGAAAAGACAACUGGGCGGAAAAAGUGUAAAGGAGGGGAAAUAACUCACACCAUGCAGCAGGACACCUUCCGCUGUGGGGUCUUUGAAAUGGAGGUUUGAUAGUUAUAUUUCCAAUAAUGAAUGGUUAGCUGUUGUGACAAUUAGGUAACAUUUAUUUUUUUGGUGUAGAUGGCCAAGGAAGUUGCACAGAACUUCCAACAUCCCCACCCAAAUUGAUAUGGAACCUUCAAAAACACAUGGAGCAACUGCGAAAAGAAAUGGCUGAGGAUAUACAAAAAAUGUCUGAGUUCAACAAAGCCAACAACUGCUUCAUGUGCGCCACUGAUAAAGAACCUGGAUGUGGCCCAAAGACUGACUGGGAAUGAAGACAAGAGUUCAACAGAGUAAAGAACAAACUGGAAGUGCAGUCUUUGUUGUUGAAAAUGUAUGCUAUACCCCAUCCACACUGAAGAGGCUCUGAAAUGUACAUCAACCAGGGAUAAAGAGAAAGUUAACACUGAAAUGUUUCAUACUUAAUUGAAGUUAAGUGUCUGUUGACAUGCUGGAAAAGAUUAAAGGUCUACA